CAGUAGCGUAUAUUAAAGUUGUUGCAGUUAAAAUGCUCGUAGUUGAAGUUCGGAUGCAGCAGAGCUGGGAAACGCUGUUAUGGUGCUUCCGUUGCUUUUGCUUGUCCACAGUGCGUUGCAAGUACGUAUGUGCUUGUGCGUGCAUUUUACUUUGAGAAACAUAGGGUGUUCCACGCAUGUUACGGCAUGAAUAUUCCAGCAUGGGAUAAUCUGGUACGACUUCCAAUCUGCCAUUUUGGUUCGUAGGUUGGAAGUAAUGAUUAAUAGGGACUGUCGGGGGCAUUGGUAUUUGACUGUCAGAGGUGAAAUUCUUAGAUUCGUUGAGGACCAACCACUGCGAAAGCAUUUGUCAAGGAUGUCUCCAUUAA
Molecule: ribosomal RNA, 368 nt
Filed under: uncultured eukaryote
Lineage: Eukaryota
Description: partial 18S ribosomal RNA
Rfam family: Eukaryotic small subunit ribosomal RNA
Source: RNAcentral